Molecule: long non-coding RNA, 2256 nt
Organism: Brassica napus (rape)
Lineage: Eukaryota; Viridiplantae; Streptophyta; Magnoliopsida; Brassicales; Brassicaceae
Exons: 5
Source: RefSeq, a predicted model, not a curated record
GGCGAUUCCUUCUUCUUCUUCUACGCCUUUCCAAUGUCUCUAUCCAACUUGUGAGCGGUUCAAAGUUUUCUUCCAUGAUCUGCCAUUAAUUUGUCCUAUUAUUGAUUUUUCAAAACAGUAGUAUUAACAUCACGAAACUCUCUCCUUCUUCUACUUUCUCACUCAAUAGACAAUAGUCUAUAUAAGAUGGUUGCAUCCAAUAAUAUAAGUUUUCAAAAAAGUUCUAUUGAGGGCAACCAAAACUCGGCUUCUGUCGAUCUCAGAGAUCCAACCCGAAAAACAAAGCUGCAGAGAGAUUUCAAGCAAAGAUUCACUGAUAUCUUCCUAGCUUGCUCUUCCACCUCUUCUGGUUGAUUUGGAAAGGGAUCCCGCUGGUAUUGAGGCAAAAGGUCUGCCAAGAAAGUCAAGCCCGCAACACAGCGAUAGAGAAAUUGGAGUUUGAUUUUAUUCAGAGUCUCAUUUUUUAUUGUUCUUCAGGAAGAUUGAUUUACAAUAUUUGAUUUUCACUUAAUUUUCUAGGUUAUAUUGGUAUUGUUUUUAGCUGGUUCUAAGCUCUGUUUCAUGUUGUAAUUUUCUGUAUUCUCAAAAGCGUUGUGAAAGAAAAAGCGUUAUUUUUUAGCUGCUAGAGCUUCAAGAACAGAGAAUCAAAUAUGGUUGGAAUACUUUCUGAACCUAAAGAACCAACAGUUGGUAUUAGAGAGAUACACUACUUCCAAUUCAAUCCAGUCCACUUAUAUCUAUAGUAAUGGAGACAGGCACCGAGUAAGCAAAAGGAGCUCCAGAAAAGAUUCUUGAUAUGUGCAAGUGCAACACAAGAGCUGAUCUGAGGAACAGAGUCCACUUAGCAAUUGAUAAGUACACUGAGCCUGGACUGAGGUCAUUAGCUGUUGCAAGAUGGCUCUACGUGAGAAAACCAAAAAUAAGCUCUGGUGGUCCAUGUGAAUUCAUUGGUCUGUUACCUUUGUUUGGUCUUCCGAAAUAUGAUAAUGCAUACACCAUUAGAAGAGCUUCAGACUUCGGUGUCAACAUCCAGAUGAUCACUGGUUACUAUCUGUGUAUUUACUUCUCACUUUGGCUUUAAUCUUAUGCUGUAUUGGUUUUCUUAUAGGUGACAAACUUGCUAUUUCCAAAUAGACUCGACGUAUGCUCGGUAUGGGAUGAAACAUGUAUCCAUCAGCAUCAGCUUCUCUACUUAGCAAUCACAAAGACGAAAGCCUAGCUGCUGUUCCUGUUGAACAGUUGAUUGAGACAGUUGAUGGCCAACAUCACAGCACUAUUUCAUAAAGAUAUGUUAACACAGUUGACAAGACCCAGUGCGUAUAAUUUCAUAAAGAUAUGUUAACCACAUGUCUACAAGUACUCUAAGUGUAUAAUAUUUUUGCUAUCAAUGAGUAUAAUUUCAUUAUCUUUUUAUCAUCCCUUACUAUUGUAUCCUUCUUUGGUUUUGCUUUCAGAUUCAUCCAGCAAAAGCUAGGAGGUCCUUCAGUUUCUGAUUACAAGAAGCUUCAAUCUGAGAAGUCUGAUCUUCAAAUAAAGUACUAUGAGUUUUUUGCUAAACAUCAAGGAACGUUGAGAGAGUUAGAUGGAAGUGAAAAGCUUGCAUUCUCGAAGAAUUCCAUAGCUCCGACCAGAAAUUCAUUAGCCAAGUGAUGAUUAUGUUGUGAGAGAGGAAGUCACAACUCAGGGUUGAAGUCUUCCAGGAGAUCAAAACUCUGCCUCUCUAUGGUGACAUAGUAAAGCUUCAGCUCAUUCUUGCUGAUCUUCUGCGCAACAUUGUGAAUCAUGUCCCGUUUCCAGAUAGUUGGGUAGGAAUCAAGAUCUCAUCAAGCCACAAGCUUGCACACGAAAAUGAUCAUAUAUCCAUCUCCAGUUCAGGAUGAUACAUCCUGGAAAUGAUUUCUUUCAGAGAUACUAAGUGAUAUGUUUGAGACAUGAGAUGGAUGGGUCACGCCUGAUGGCUUAUGACUUAAGCAGAUGAAUGGUAGUGUGAGUUAUGUUAGAGAAGACGAACGUUGUUUCUUUCAAGUGGAUCUUCAAGUUAAGACAAGGUUAGGUGUUGCGACCAUAGGAACAGAGGCUGGUUCAAGCAUACAAUAGAGAUUCUGAGUUACAAAGGCAUAUAUAAAAUUUGACGAUGGAUUUAGAACUAUGGAUUUAACUUUUACUUAUUUUAACGUUAAACCCAUUAUGGCCCAACAAAAUAUUGAACAUAAAUUUUGUUUCUCUUUUUCCAAACAAAGUAGAACUUUAUUGAUC